RNAcentral lists this non-coding RNA (24 nucleotides) under Daphnia pulex (common water flea). RNAcentral also lists the same sequence under 11 other names. The record is from RNAcentral. Lineage: Eukaryota; Metazoa; Arthropoda; Branchiopoda; Diplostraca; Daphniidae.
CUUGGCACUGGAAGAAUUCACAGA